RNAcentral lists this long non-coding RNA (257 nucleotides) under Brassica rapa (field mustard). RNAcentral's name for it is "long non-coding RNA (BRAP_LNC001255)". Lineage: Eukaryota; Viridiplantae; Streptophyta; Magnoliopsida; Brassicales; Brassicaceae. The record is from RNAcentral.
UUCAAUCUUAUGUAAUCUUUCACCAAGAUUCUCAAGGUUGGACUGAUGUCUUGUAAGUGCGGCGUUAGUGUCAGCUGAGAUCUCCUCUGUAUGGUAAGGUGUGUUGGACAUGUCCAAUGUCAUCUUUGGUACCAGCCGGCCUUGGUUUUUAUCACUGUCGAUCGAUGUUUGAUUGUGAAUGUCAAUCAAUUUGUUGUUGUAUAUGUCGAUCGAUAGUGCUGCUUCUGGUCGACGGACAAUGUAACUCUGGAUCUCCA